UACGAAGGGGGCUAGCGUUGCUCGGAAUUACUGGGCGUAAAGCGCACGUAGGCGGCUCUUUAAGUCGGGGGUGAAAUCCUGGAGCUCAACUCCAGAACUGCCCUUCGAUACUGUAGAGCUUGAGUUCGGGAGAGGUGAGUGGAACUGCGAGUGUAGAGGUGAAAUUCGUAGAUAUUCGCAAGAACACCAGUGGCGAAGGCGGCUCACUGGCCCGAUACUGACGCUGAGGUGCGAAAGCGUGGGGAGCAAACAGG
This 254-nucleotide ribosomal RNA is filed under the name uncultured bacterium. RNAcentral's name for it is "partial 16S ribosomal RNA". It matches the Rfam family "Bacterial small subunit ribosomal RNA", at positions 524 to 776 of the family's 1533-position model. The record is from RNAcentral.